UCGAUUCAAUCGUGCGUGCUCGCUUUGUUUGUUCCUUUGUCUUGGGUCCGUUGUGCUUUAUGUUUGCUGCAUCACAAUUACUGUUCACAAUCAGCAGUUUAAACAGCGUGGGCAAAAAUCUUGCAAUCAUAGUGGUGUCUUUCUUUAGUUAUUUUUUUGCAUAGUUGUCACGUUUGUCCGGCUGCACUGGAAUGUUUUAAAAAACGGAAUAAUUUGGUUACGGCGCCCCACUUUCGGGUAUGACCGCUGGGACUUGUAGUCCUUUUGUUCGAUUCCACUUGAGACGUUUCUAUUGUAAGGUUUCUUACGUUUAGAAUAAUGAUGACGAAAUUAAUACAUAGCGUCAAAUCAUGGUUUAUUAAAUCAUUUAUGAAAAUUAUUGUCAAGUUGAAGGUGAUGACCUGCUUCUAAUGCUUCUACAACUGCGUCUGCUAUUCUGCUGCUGCAUCACCUUUGCCAGACAUCCAAGAUCGUAGCGAUGCAAUGGUAAAAGCUUAAAUUAGGCCCCUUGGGAUACACCUUAGUUAUUGGACUCAAAAGGAAACGCACCGUGGCUCUCCUUACAAGGGACAUUGGAAGGUCGCAGAGUGAUCCAGUGUCUUCGCAGGGACCAUGGCUAGAAGAGUGGAGGACCAUCUCCAAUGUCCGACCUGUUUGGACAUCUUCAAGGAUCCCGUGGUACUGUCGUGUAGUCCCAGCUUCUGUCACUCAUGUCUACUGCAAUGGUAGGAGCAGGAAGGACAUCGAUCUUGCCCAGUCUGGAGGACAGAUUUUGUUCAAUGGAUCCACCUUUGAGACCCUUAUUUGAAAGAUGACAUGAUUUUCUCAAGAGGCAAGCGCCAGUAGCUCACAGAUCUGUGCAUGCAAGAAAGGCAACAGCGAGAAAAGGGAUGCUGACACUCAAACUGUCCACGAGUCCACUUUUGAGAAAUUCGGUGUUACCCACUCAGUGCCACUCGCUCACAGCUUCCUCGCCACCUUUUGUGUCGCUACAGCAGAAAUCCGCCAGGGGGCACCCUGGCCUCACAGAAGCUUCUGAAGAGGGCCAAGCAAAGCUUGGAGGGAGGCAACCCCUUUGGAGAAAGAAGAAAUCCAACUCUUUUCAGACAUUUUCAGUUUGCAGAUGACUCUGCGCAAAAUCUGUAAAAUUAACGGAGUAAAAUAACAGUUCUUGGAAUAAAAGGUGACAUUUUAUCGUUA
This is a long non-coding RNA of Hippocampus zosterae (dwarf seahorse), 1200 nucleotides long. RefSeq lists it as uncharacterized. NCBI's taxonomy places the organism in Eukaryota, Metazoa, Chordata, Actinopteri, Syngnathiformes, Syngnathidae. The transcript has 3 exons. The record is from RefSeq and is a predicted model, not a curated record.